AACCUAGCACACCUGCGGUGUGUACCUGCGGAGGGAUCAUUACAUGAUUUAACAGGGAGUGGAGGCUUCGGCCAAAGCUCUGUCUGAACCCAUGUCUUUUGCGUACUUCUUGUUUCCUCGGUGGGCUUGCCCGCCGAUAGGACAACCUUAAACUCUUUGCAAUUGCAAUCAGCGUCUGAAAAACUAUAAUAGUUACAACUUUUAACAAUGGAUCU
This 215-nucleotide unclassified non-coding RNA is filed under the name soil metagenome. RNAcentral describes it as "partial contains 5.8S ribosomal RNA, internal transcribed spacer 2, and large subunit ribosomal RNA". The record is from RNAcentral.